RNAcentral lists this long non-coding RNA (250 nucleotides) under Malus domestica (apple). Its description in RNAcentral is "long non-coding RNA (MDOM_LNC013588)". The record is from RNAcentral. Lineage: Eukaryota; Viridiplantae; Streptophyta; Magnoliopsida; Rosales; Rosaceae.
AGUAGGGAUCGUUCUAGGCCGGGGAUUAGGAGGGAUUGCUAAACACUUGAAAACUGACUUAAAAACAUAAACACAAAAUUUAAAACACUAAACUAGACUCAAAGAAUGCAAAACUAUACUUUAAAAUACUUAAACAAACAGAAAACUCAAAACAGCAACCUAAUGACUCAAAACCGCCUAAAAACCACUUUCUGGGCAGUUUUGAGAACCUAACAAGAACUUGGACGAAGUUGGAUGAAAACUUGAAUCA